RNAcentral lists this small nuclear RNA (281 nucleotides) under Prolemur simus (greater bamboo lemur). RNAcentral describes it as "7SK RNA (ENSPSMG00000009035.1)". It matches the Rfam family "7SK RNA". Rfam says of the family: 7SK was discovered as an abundant small nuclear RNA in the mid-70s but a possible function has only recently been suggested. Two independent studies have found that 7SK RNA binds the CDK9/cyclin T complex (known as elongation factor P-TEFb). The record is from RNAcentral. Lineage: Eukaryota; Metazoa; Chordata; Mammalia; Primates; Lemuridae.
GGAUGAGAGGGCAAUCUGUGACAUCUGUCACCCCACUGGUCGCCAGGGUUGAUUAAGCUGAUUUGGCUGGCUAGGCAGGUGUCCCCUUCUUCCCUCACUGCUCCAUGUGCGUCCCUCCCAAAGCUGCACGCUCAGUGGAGGAAGAUGAUUUUCCUUGAUAAAGGAGGACCAUUCUUCGGUCAAGGGUAUAUCAGUAGCUGCGCUCCCCUGCUGGAACCUCCAAACAUGCAGCAUGUAACUAUUUUUAAAAUCCUACAGAUUUUUAUGCUUGUGUUUUCUUG